AGAGCAGAAGGAAAAAGGAGGCUUUGGCAGCAAGUUGUGCACUGAAGGGAACGGCUGAAGACUGCUCCAGUCUCUUCAGGGAAGAACUCUCAGAAGGACAACAGAAUGCUAACAUGUGACAUUCGUAUGAAGCUCCAUCACUAUGGCAAUAUACAAAAAUACCAGGGACUCUCUUAGGUGCCACUUGGAAAUACAAUCUCCAGAAUUCCCAUUUGUCUCAGAACGCUCACAUCAAUGGCUUCAGAGGGUCACUGGCUGUUUCAAUACACCGAAAAUUAUCAUCUACCAGCCUGACUCACAAGUGCUGAGAACCAAAAAGAACAUGAGAAGCAAAGAACAAUUUUCUUCACUUACAAGCAGAGACUGAUAAACGUGUCUGGUUCACUCACUGGACACAGCAAGAUGAAAGUCAUCUGCAAGUCAGGAAGAACGCUUUCAUUAUGAACCAUGUCAACAGCACCUUGAUCUCAGACCUCCCAGCCUUCAGAAUGAGAUGUCCUGAGCCUGCCUAGAUACCGUUUCCGGUCUGUGGAAUAAAGCACGGAUAAAGCAGAUGAGUUCUGCCUUCAUGACAGACUUGGAUUCUGAUG
Molecule: long non-coding RNA, 590 nt
Organism: Mustela erminea (ermine)
Lineage: Eukaryota; Metazoa; Chordata; Mammalia; Carnivora; Mustelidae
Exons: 3
Source: RefSeq, a predicted model, not a curated record